CCCUUAGAUGUUCUGGGCCGCACGCGCGCUACAAUGGUCUUCGCAAACGGAUGCAUUCUCGAAGGAGAAUGCCAAUCUUGGAAUCUAUGCCUUGGUCGGGACAGUUGCUUGCAAUUUUUCGACUCGAACCAGGAAUUCCUUGUAAUCGUGAUUCAUCACAUCACGAUGAAUACGUCCCUGCCCUUUGUACACACUGCCCGUCGCUCCUACCGAUCGAAGAGUUAGGUGAAUUGUUUUGAUCGAUAAGAUUUGACUAUGGUCAACUCUCGUUGUGAAAUUCUGUGAAUCUGACUGUUUAGAGGAAGGAAAAGUCGUAACA
This 319-nucleotide ribosomal RNA is filed under the name uncultured eukaryote. Its description in RNAcentral is "partial 18S ribosomal RNA". It matches the Rfam family "Eukaryotic small subunit ribosomal RNA", at positions 1470 to 1796 of the family's 1831-position model. The record is from RNAcentral.